ACUGUGAAACUGCGAAUGGCUCAUUAAAUCAGUUAUCGUUUAUUUGAUAGUACCUUACUACUUGGAUAACCGUGGUAAUUCUAGAGCUAAUACAUGCUUAAAACCUCGACUUCGGAAGGGGUGUAUUUAUUAGAUAAAAAACCAAUGCCCUUCGGGGCUCUUUGGUGAUUCAUAAUAACUUAACGAAUCGCAUGGCCUUGUGCCGGCGAUGGUUCAUUCAAAUUUCUGCCCUAUCAAGUUUCGAUGGUAGGAUAUGGGCCUACCAUGCUUUCAACGGGUAACAGAGGAUUAGGGUUCGAUCCUGGAGAGGGAGCCUGAGAAACGGCUACCACAUCCAAGGAAGGCAGCAGGCGCGCAAAUUACCCAAUCCCGAUUCGGGGAGGUAGUGACAAUAAAUACUGAUACAGGGCUCUUUUGGGUCUUGUAAUUGGAAUGAGUACAAUUUAAAUCCCUUAACGAGGAACAAUUGGAGGGCAAGUCUGGUGCCAGCAGCCGCGGUAAUUCCAGCUCCAAUAGCGUAUAUUAAAGUUGUUGCAGUUAAAAAGCUCGUAGUUGAACCUUGGGCCUGGUCUACUGGUCCGCCUCACCGCGUGUACUUUUGGACCGGGCCUUUCCUUCUGGGGAACUUCAUGCCCUUCACUGGGUGUGUUAGGGAUCCAGGACUUUUACUUUGAAAAAAUUAGAGUGUUCAAAGCAGGCCUAUGCUCGAAUACAUUAGCAUGGAAUAAUAGAAUAGGACGUGUGGUUCUAUUUUUGUUGGUUUCUAGGACCGCCGUAAUGAUUAAUAGGGAUAGUCGGGGGCAUCAGUAUUCAAUUGUCAGAGGUGAAAUUCUUGGAUUUAUUGAAGACUAACUACUGCGAAAGCAUUUGCCAAGGAUGUUUUCAUUAAUCAGGAACGAAAGUUAGGGGAUCGAAGACGAUCAGAUACCGUCGUAGUCUUAAACCAUAAACUAUGCCGACUAGGGAUCGGGCGAUGUUAUUAUUUGACUCGCUCGGGCACCUUACGAGAAAUCAAAG
RNAcentral lists this ribosomal RNA (1017 nucleotides) under Umbellidion radulans. Its description in RNAcentral is "SSU rRNA". It matches the Rfam family "Eukaryotic small subunit ribosomal RNA", at positions 78 to 1103 of the family's 1831-position model. Lineage: Eukaryota; Fungi; Ascomycota; Leotiomycetes. The record is from RNAcentral.